GCAGACACACUCUGUUUAAGACUGAGACAUCCAGCCUUAAACUUUUUCUGUCUGCAACAGUAACCUGCAGAAUGUACAUAUUGCCUUGCCAUUUACUUGGGAGGUGGUAGUACCUUCUGAUACAUUCAU
Myxocyprinus asiaticus (Chinese sucker) is the source of this 129-nucleotide small nucleolar RNA. RefSeq annotates it as small nucleolar RNA SNORA77. The record is from RefSeq and is a predicted model, not a curated record. NCBI's taxonomy places the organism in Eukaryota, Metazoa, Chordata, Actinopteri, Cypriniformes, Catostomidae. The transcript has a single exon.